UGAACGCUAGCGGGAGGCCUAACACAUGCAAGCCGAGCGGUAGAGUAUCUCCGGAUACUUGAGAGCGGCGUACGGGUGCGGAACACGUGUGCAACCUGCCUUUAUCAGAGGGAUAGCCUUUCGAAAGGAAGAUUAAUACCUCAUAAUAUACUGAUUGGNAUCAAUUAGUAUUGAAAGCUCUGGCGGAUAGAGAUGGGCACGCGCAAGAUUAGAUAGUUGGUGAGGUAACGGCUCACCAAGUCAAUGAUCUUUAGGGGGCCUGAGAGGGUGAUCCCCCACACUGGUACUGAGACACGGACCAGACUCCUACGGGAGGCAGCAGUGAGGAAUAUUGGACAAUGGGUGGGAAGCCUGAUCCAGCCAUCCCGCGUGAAGGACGACGGCCCUAUGGUUUGUAAACUUCUUUUGGUCAGGGAUAAACCUACUCUCGUGAGGGUAGCUGAAGGUACUGUACGAUUAAGCACCCGUUAACUC
This 474-nucleotide ribosomal RNA is filed under the name Riemerella anatipestifer. Its description in RNAcentral is "bacterial SSU rRNA". It matches the Rfam family "Bacterial small subunit ribosomal RNA", at positions 30 to 503 of the family's 1533-position model. Lineage: Bacteria; Pseudomonadati; Bacteroidota; Flavobacteriia; Flavobacteriales; Weeksellaceae. The record is from RNAcentral.